GGGCCCGUAGUCUAGUGGUAAAAUACCUCGCUUGCACCGAGGAGCCCCGUGUUCGAUUCACGGCGGGUCCA
This 71-nucleotide transfer RNA is filed under the name Flavobacteriales bacterium. Its description in RNAcentral is "tRNA-Ala". It matches the Rfam family "tRNA". Rfam says of the family: Transfer RNA (tRNA) molecules are approximately 80 nucleotides in length. Lineage: Bacteria; Pseudomonadati; Bacteroidota; Flavobacteriia; Flavobacteriales. RNAcentral also lists the same sequence under 2 other names. The record is from RNAcentral.